GGCCCAGACUCCUACGGGAGGCAGCAGUGGGGAAUAUUGCGCAAUGGGCGAAAGCCUGACGCAGCGACGCCGCGUGGGUGAAGGAGCACCUCGGUGCGUAAAGCCCUAUCGGCAGGGAAGAAACAGACGGUACCUGACUAAGAAGCCCCGGCUAACUACGUGCCAGCAGCCGCGGUAAUACGUAGGGGGCAAGCGUUAUCCGGAUUCACUGGGUGUAAAGGGAGCGUAGGCGGCGACGCAAGUCUGGAGUGAAAGCCCGGGGCCCAACCCCGGGACUGCUCUGGAAACUGCGUCGCUGGAGUACGGGAGGGGCAGGCGGAAUUCCUGGUGUAGCGGUGAAAUGCGUAGAUAUCAGGAGGAACACCGGCGGCGAAGGCGGCCUGCUGGACCGUGACUGACGUUGAGGCUCGAAAGCGUGGGGAGCAAACAGGAUUAGAUACCCUUGUAA
RNAcentral lists this ribosomal RNA (448 nucleotides) under uncultured bacterium. RNAcentral's name for it is "bacterial SSU rRNA". It matches the Rfam family "Bacterial small subunit ribosomal RNA", at positions 328 to 793 of the family's 1533-position model. The record is from RNAcentral.